CUGACCACAGAAUGUAGAAAAAACGUGGAAUAACAGUACCAGCCGCUCGUAGUUAUACAAUAGUACUUGAGUUUAUGAUGCGUUAAUUAUUCGUUCAAGGACAAUAUUCCUCGUAUUUUAUGUAAUCAAUGUAGGUAUAAUAUAUUUUUCAACUGUUGGAUGAUUUAGCCAGCUGUAGCAGUAUGGGUAGCAAAGUUUUACCACCUAAGUCUGGGAAAAGGAUGGCUCGUCUGUAAAUGCGAACAGAAAGUCGCAUUUAUGAGCGUGUAAUUAAAAUCAUGUAUCUCCUAGACCAGCGAAAUAAAAGUGCAAGAUAAAAGUUGCUAAAAUGCUCUGGAAUAAAAUUGCCAGCCUUGCCGAUCGAUGUAAGCUAAUGUAACGCUUAUGGAAAGCUAAUGAGAUUGACAUGGAAACAACACAUCAUAGACAAAUCGAAGCAACUCAAGGCUAAACUCAAAAAAUUCUACUGGCACAUUGGCUGUCGCUCCAACUUAAGCACACAGAGCAAAAUAAUGCUAUAUAAAGCCAUACUAAAACCUGUUUGGACCUAUGGGAUACAACUAUGGGGAACUGCGAAGAAUUCCAACUUAGAAAUUCUUCAACGAUUCCAAUCAAAAAUACUAAGAUCCUUAAUAAAUGCACCUUGGUAUGUCACCAACGAAACAAUCCACCGCGACCUCAAGACACCCACAGUCAAAGAAGAAAUAUACAAAUUCAAAAGCAGAUAUAACACAAGAGUCAACAACCACCACAACCCACAACCAUUAGCCACCCAACUACUUGACACGACGGAUCAGACCCGCAGACUAAAAAGAAAAUACCCUUUAGAUUGAAGCAUUAAAUUCAACUAGAAUCAAACAUAAUAUAAAUUAUUAUAAUCCAAGUUACUGUACCACGCCAAAUGAAGUUACUUAAAGUUCUCAAUGAGAAUUGCUUGUAAAUUGACGACCAAAUAAAAAAAAAAGAAAGAAACAUCUAUAUGAACGUCAUAAAAUUUCAGUACAAAUAAAUACAAGUAAAUUACAAAUAAAUUAUUAAAAUACAAAUAAAUUACUUUAGAUAUAAAGAUUAGUUAAUGCCAAUCGUCGACCUUAGUCGGUCAACGUGCAGUUUCCGAUUUGAAUACAAUUUUCAAGAAUAUGGAUCUCCGAGAAACUUGCCACGUAUCCAUCGUCGAAUAACUGGCAAAGGAUAAUUGCAACAAUGGUGAAAAAACUUUCGUCCGAUUUAAUUGUGACGGUGGUCUUCCCGACACGUCGUAAUUAAUCGAUGAAAAAAAUCGAAUAGGACGAAGAACGCAUAGUUGUCAACGCGUGGAACAAUUAUCGGACGUGAAUUGAAGCGCAGUGGAUUGAAGUGGCCAUGAGGCAGUCCCGAAGAACGAGCAUCGAAACCGGUUAACGACGACGACUACUAAACUGAAAAAGACACUUCAUCGUUCUGCUCGAUAAACAACAAUUGGAGAUUGAAAAUUCUUGAGCGUAUAGACAAACCAGUUGUAGGAACAUAGCUAUACUGUGGGGAAUCGUUAAUGAAUCUAGCGAAAAUCGUCGAGGAAGAAGAAAAAAAGAUCUUAGAAGAUAGAACUAGAACUAGAAAAUAAUACGAUUCUGUACAAAGAGAGAGAGAGAGAGAGAGAAAGAAGAAAGAAAAGUAAAGGGAAAAAUCUUCGAACCCGGAAGGAUUAAAUUGGCUUUUCUUUGGCAAAGGGUAGCCACGCGUGCAAUCUACUUUCCACGCAAUUACCGCUCCACCGACGACGCUUAGUUCCGUACAAUGUUAAUGGAUCAUCAACGUUAUCGCGCUAUUUCCAUUGAACGGAUCCAAUCACCGAAAAUUAUUCGGUUGUCCAGCACGCCGCUUGGUUAUCAUUAAUCUUCCUGGGCGGCUGGAGCGGCGGAACUUGGCCGCUAUUUACAAUCGGCCUUUCGUCCCUCUUAGAUGACGAUGUCUAGAGUUCAGAGCGCCAAGUAUUUCUUGAACACCGAUGUGAAACUGAAUUAAGUCGUCGAGAACCAAAUUAACGGAGCAUAGAAUAUCCACGGGAGCACGCACGCACACAACCGACUAUGCGUGUCACCGUCGUUAAAACGUUCGAAUUAACGUGGUUCUGGCGUUUGUGCUACAAUGGAAUUAAUUUCCCGGGAGUUUCGGCCGCCGCUAACGAGUUUAUGUUUAUAGUUUACGUCGAGAUUACGGUGCAGGAAGAACACGGACGACGCCUUCGAUGACGAGGAUUUUCAAACGCUGCUAGGUUCUUUUUGCACACGAUGUAUCUUGAGAAUGAAGCCGUAAGUCGUCGGAAAACUAAGCUAAGUUAUGCCACGCUAAAUUGAACAAUUUCAAAGGUUACGUUUCUUCGGCAUCUUAGCGUUCGAACUUGGCAUCUUCUUUCUAUAUUUGUUUCGUCAAGUGAUCGCUUGCACAGUCGAGGUUAAAGUUUAUUAUUAAUGAAAUAUUCUAUCGAAUAAAUACGUUGGAAAGACAAUUCGCAACAAACACUACGAUCCAUUAUCUUCCAUUAUUCACUUUCACCGUGAUUCCGUUUCCCCUGAAUUAAUUCGAAUCGUAGCAUUAAUGAUGAAUAUAUAUCGUCAACGCUAAUCGUAGGUAUCUCAUUAUCAUUAUACUCGUGAUAUUCGUAUUCAGCAUUUACCUAACGCUCUUCCAAUCAUAGCCGCAUGAUUUUCCUUCCGUCCACGGU
Long non-coding RNA from Bombus pyrosoma, 2704 nucleotides. RefSeq lists it as uncharacterized. The record is from RefSeq and is a predicted model, not a curated record. Lineage: Eukaryota; Metazoa; Arthropoda; Insecta; Hymenoptera; Apidae. The transcript is spliced from 3 exons.